Molecule: ribosomal RNA, 833 nt
Filed under: uncultured Glomeraceae
Lineage: Eukaryota; Fungi; Glomeromycota; Glomeromycetes; Glomerales; Glomeraceae
Description: eukaryotic LSU rRNA
Rfam family: Eukaryotic large subunit ribosomal RNA
Source: RNAcentral
AUCAGGUAGGAACACCCGCUGAACUUAAGCAUAUCAAUAAGCGGAGGAAAAGAAAAUAACAAUGAUUCCCCUAGUAACUGCGAGUGAAGAGGGACAAGCUCAAAUUUUAAAUCUGUCGGGUUUUACCCGAUCGAGUUGUAAUUUGAAGAAGCGUUUUCUGCGUAUUUGGUCAGCCCAAGUCCUAUUGAAUGAGGCAUCAUGGAGGGUGAUAAUCCCGUCCGGUUGAUCAUUGCGUUUUAUGAUACGCUUUCUAAGAGUCAAGUUGUUUGGGAUUGCAGCUUAAAAUGGGAGGUAAAUUUCUCCUAAGGCUAAAUAACGGCGAGAGACCGAUAGCGAACAAGUACCGUGAGGGAAAGAUGAAAAGAACUUUGAAAAGAGAGUUAAACAGUACGUGAAAUUGUUGAAAGGGAAACGAUUGAAGCCAGUCGUACCUAUGGGUAAUCAGCCUUUUGGGUGUGAUUUUGUGGAGCGUGGAGAGUUAAACGCCUUCAUGCCUGCAUAUUCGUGCACUUUGGGUGUACUUGCCCGUGUGUAAGUUAACAUCAAUUUUGGUGGUCAUAAAAUGGCUGGAGGAAUGUAGCUUCGAUCUUGUAUUGAAGUGUUAUAACCUUCGGUAGAUGUGACGAUCGGGAUUGAGGAUUGCAACGGAUACCCUUCGGGGCUACCUGUCUGAUCUCUGAUUGUUGCUCUGGUGCCGAAAGCUUGCUUACGGUUAUCAAAGUCGAUGGUCAAUAGGUUAGAACGGGUUAAAUUCGUUAAGGAUGUUGACGUAAUGGCUUUAAACGACCCGUCUUGAAACACGGACCAAGGAGUCUAACAUAUAUGCGAGUGUU